This is a long non-coding RNA of Numida meleagris (helmeted guineafowl), 1225 nucleotides long. RefSeq lists it as uncharacterized. NCBI's taxonomy places the organism in Eukaryota, Metazoa, Chordata, Aves, Galliformes, Numididae. The record is from RefSeq and is a predicted model, not a curated record. The transcript has 4 exons.
UUGAGAUAUUUAGCUUAACUUAGCUGAUCUGCACUGCCACACUUGCCUAACACAGAUGCAUCAAUGAAAGCUAAAAAGCUGAUAAAUUAUAUGUAAUCAUUCCACAGUGCAAAUUACCCAUCAGGUUAGAAUUUCUCAAUUGCAUUCCUCCCGUGAAGAAGAAUCAGGUGGAGGUCUUCAGUCAAAUCUGCCCUGACUUGAGGCAGCUCCUUCAGACUCCAGCAGCCCUUUUAGCUGCUCUUUUUCUGCUGUGAAAUCUCAGUGAAACUAAUGAGCACCAUGCAGGUUAAGAUAAGACAUCUUCUGGCAACGGUAGUCAUGGAACUAUCUGCUUCUUACUAAAGAUGUAACAGAGCUGAGGAAGCCAGCGGGAUUCUGCUCACAAUGCUUUCUAAAGCUUUAAGAGUUCUGCUUCAGUCCAGGGAGAUUCUGCCUUCGUGGAACUGAGACAGGGAGAUUCCUGCUUCUUUCUAAGCAAACUAAGGAUCCAUAAGGCCUUGUCUUGCUCCUGGGGUAUUGCACAGGUAACGUGGGGAAAAAGAUGGCAUUCAGAGUCCUCCUUCAAGACCUGAUGGCAUGAGGUUGCAAUACUUGAUUUUAGCUACAAAUUCAUUUUUGUUUAUGCAUGUAAGGGAACUGCGUGGAGUCAAAAGAGAGUCUUUGGAAUUGUUAUGUACUUCCUAGGAGAAAUACUCAGCCACUGAUGCGUACGUGCACCUUCUAUUUGUUGUAGGCAUUCACCUGCUGGGGCUGGUAGGGGAAAAAAUGUUUACUGAUUAAUUGAGAUGGUUGGAAAUGUGAGUGGGUAAGGUGACGUUAUGGGCUAUGGACAUAAGUUCAAUUCAUGGUUUACCUCUGAAUUUUUAGCACACUGUUAAGAUCUUCACUAGAAGAGUAUAUAUUGUUGUGACUUUUUGCUGCUGGUUAGCCAUGUGACAUUUUACAUUGUGUUGUUUCAUUCUAACUCUGUUGCAAUAAGAUCUGUAAUGGCGUAAGAUUAUUUCCUUACUCGUUUUUUUUUUUUUUAAGUCCUUCUUGUGUGUAUGUAUUUUUAAGCUUUUUUUUUUAAGCCCUACUUCCUUGGGGCUGAUAUUGUUUCCUCCAUUUGUACGCUACUGAAAUAUACAUAUUUUUUUUUUUUUUUGGUUAUGUUUUCCCCUGAUCUGAAAAUGCAGAAGCAGCAGCGAAGGAGAUUUGCUGCAAAAGCUGUGCAAAUAUUCAAAUA